Molecule: ribosomal RNA, 433 nt
Filed under: uncultured bacterium
Lineage: Bacteria
Description: partial 16S ribosomal RNA
Rfam family: Bacterial small subunit ribosomal RNA
Source: RNAcentral
AACGAACGCUGGCGGCAGGCCUAACACAUGCAAGUCGAGCGGACCCUUCGGGGUUAGCGGCGGACGGGUGAGUAACGCGUGGGAAUAUGCCCUUCUCUACGGAAUAGUCCUGGGAAACUGGGGGUAAUACCGUAUACGCUCUUUGGGGGAAAGAUUUAUCGGGGUAGGAUUAGCCCGCGUUGGAUUAGGUAGUUGGUGGGGUAAUGGCCUACCAAGCCGACGAUCCAUAGCUGGUUUGAGAGGAUGAUCAGCCACACUGGGACUGAGACACGGCCCAGACUCCUACGGGAGGCAGCAGUGGGGAAUCUUAGACAAUGGGGGCAACCCUGAUCUAGCCAUGCCGCGUGAGUGAUGAAGGCCUUAGGGUUGUAAAGCUCUUUCAGCUGGGAAGAUAAUGACGGUACCAGCAGAAGAAGCCCCGGCUAACUCCGUG